Sander lucioperca (pikeperch) is the source of this 2294-nucleotide RNA transcript. It is a transcript of the gene named Usher syndrome type-1G protein homolog, with no coding region annotated. The transcript has 6 exons. NCBI's taxonomy places the organism in Eukaryota, Metazoa, Chordata, Actinopteri, Perciformes, Percidae. The record is from RefSeq and is a predicted model, not a curated record.
AUGGGCCGCGUACCACGGCAACCUGGAGGCGCUCCGGCUCAUAGUGGCGAGAGGCAGAUUAAAAUGAGGGUAGAAUGCUGUAUGUCACGCUGCUGCUGGCAGGUUUAUAAGGCGAGGAGUAAAGUGGAGACACAGGGAAAGGUCACAGUGAUGGAUAGGACAUCUUCCUACUACGGUCCCUGGAGGAGGCAGUGCAGACUGGGCAUGAAGCAAAGACUGACGACUAGAGCUGAGCUGCAGAUCAAAGUUCACAGCAAAAGGGGCGACCCGGACAGGUGUGACAUCUGGGGAAACACACCACUUCACCUGGCAGCUGCCAACGGCCACCACAACUGCCUGUCCUUCCUGGUGGCUUUCGGUGCCAACGUGUGGUGUCUGGACAACGACUACCACACACCGCUGGACAUGGCCGCCACCAAGGAACACAUGGACUGUGUUCGCUACCUGGACUCCAUCGCUGCCAAGCAGAUCACCCUCAACCCAAAGCUGGUCAACAAACUCAAGGACCGGGCGUUUCAAGCCGCCGAGCGUCGCAUCAAAGACUGCGCAAAGCUCCAGAGGAAGCACCGUGAACAUAUGGAGAGGAAGUUCAUGAAGGAGUCAGCGGCUUUAGACAACUUGGAUGCUAUCAGCUUUUCUAGCUACGCCAGCGGCAGCACACUGAGCAAGUUCAACACUGUCACCUCCAACAUGCCAUACUCGCAGGCCACCCUGCUCUCUACAGCCAAGGGCAAGGCCAAGAUACAGAAGAAGCUGGAGAAGAAGAAGCAGGUUGAUGGAUCGUUCAAGAUCUAUGAGGACGGGAGGAAAAGCGUGCGCUCGCUGUCCGGCCUGCAGCUCGGCAACGACGUCAUGUUUCUCAAACAGGGUACAUACGCCAACUCCAAGGAGCGCUCUCGCCUCAACAUCCGCGACAUGUUCCACCCUGACAAUGACGACGACGACGGCGUCUCCCGUGCCAUGAGCGACCCGGGCCUCCACGAGGCUGCGUAUUCGGAGAUCAGUGCCGACUCCGGACGCGAUUCCCUGUUCAACCGCCCAGGGCUCGGCACCAUGGUGUUCAGGAGGAACUAUUUGAGUGCAGGCAUGUUUAGUACCGGAGCACGGGAGGAAGGGAGUGUAGUAGGGAGUGAACCUGUGGGCCGGGCACCCAAUGUUCGUCUACGAGGACGUCUGCCCCGCCGCUCGCCCAGCUUCGAUGAGGACAGUAUCGGCAGCGCCUUGAGCCUGCAAGAAAGAAACCUUCAGGAGUUGCCCUGGGAGGAGACUGACGUUGGGUUGGAUGAGGACUUUGAGCCGGAGAGCAGUCCGCUGGAGACCUUCCUGGCCUCUCAAAGCCUCAGUGAGUUCAUGGCGAUCUUCAGGCGGGAGAAGAUCGACCUGGAGGCUCUGCUGCUUUGUUCAGAUCAGGACCUCGCCAGCAUUCACAUCCCUUUGGGCCCCAGGAAGAAACUCCUGGACGCCUGCAAGAAACGUCUGGACACCAUAGAUGAACCAGAGGCCAUUGAAGACACUGAGCUCUGAAGGCAUUAGGGCCCAAUCAAAAACUAGAAAAGUGAUCAGGUGAUUCGCCGCAGGGUUGUGAGGCAGUGGGAGUGUCACUAAAUGGCCCAUGUGUGACGUCCAGUUGAUAUGACAGUUUCCUAUUUACACAUCCAGCUGACACAGAGCAACACUGUCAUUUAUCUGUCCACCUGACAAAUGAUAAACACACUUGAUGCUCGCUAUCCAGACUGAAAUUUGGAAAAGAAGUUAUCAAUGCUUUAUGGAAAAGCUUUGCCACGUACUGUACACAUGGAUACAUGUUUUUUUUAAUGGAUUUCUUUCCAGUGAAAUGUAGCCUGACAUGUUAUCUUUGCAUACUGUAUUAAUUCAUGUAUCAGUGAAUGUACUUAACCCUUUGAAUAUAGUGUUUAUUAUGUCUUCGUUGUACAGUUUUCUUACUUUAAACAUGUUAUUUUACUCAACGGCACAUACACAAUGGCGACUUAAGACUAUUAUUUUAUGGAUGCAAAUAGCCACAGACUGACUGUUACUCGGCAAACACUGCUGCAAAAGUGAAACAAAAGGGUGCUACUGUGAGGUUAUGUGAGUGUGUGCUAGAUAACACUGUUAUCUCAGGUUGCUCCGGGGCGUAUAUGGUUUCACUGAAGGUCCGUCUGUCUGCGAACUCUGUGAGAGUAUGACUGUGCAUGAAUGUUCAUUUUAUGUUAGUAAAAAGAAAAUCAGUUUUUUAUCAAUAUAUGUACCCACAACCAUAAUUAUCUUUUAUUAAAAUAAAGUGAAAACCAUUA